AAAAUCUGAACUAACGGAACGCGCAUGCCUACUGACGUAUCGAUGUUGUGGGCACUUUUUUAAGUCAUGAUGGGCUUUUUAAUCUAGAGUCCAUUAAAAACUCAACAGAAGAGUUAGGACCACAAGUAUCGACUUUUUGAUACGAAGCCCAUGUAUGACCGAAUAGAUAAUCCCACUUGGUUAAAACAAUAAAUAUAAAAAUGAAAAAAAAAUCUUAAACCCAC
Molecule: long non-coding RNA, 224 nt
Filed under: Brassica rapa (field mustard)
Lineage: Eukaryota; Viridiplantae; Streptophyta; Magnoliopsida; Brassicales; Brassicaceae
Description: long non-coding RNA (BRAP_LNC001076)
Source: RNAcentral